Long non-coding RNA from Pyrus x bretschneideri (Chinese white pear), 1496 nucleotides. RefSeq lists it as uncharacterized. The transcript is spliced from 2 exons. Lineage: Eukaryota; Viridiplantae; Streptophyta; Magnoliopsida; Rosales; Rosaceae. The record is from RefSeq and is a predicted model, not a curated record.
CACAAAAAUAUAUUAAAAAAUAAGAAACCAACCAACGUGGGAGAAUCCUACUUAUCCUAUCAUUCUUCUCUCCUUGAAUUUCUUUUAUUUAAUCAAUUUCAACUUCCGUUAGAUCAAAAUUUUCACCCACUACCAAGCAGUAACUCCCCAUAUUCAGUUACUUGCAGUUUACAAAUUUCACUUCAAUACCUUUCAUAUGCUCAGCCAAGGGAAAAAUUUCUAAGCGUAAAAUGAAAAGGACAUUCAAAAUGGUGUCAUCAGUUCCAAAUUCAGAGAGAACCAUGAACAACCGUAGAAACAAAAACUACCAAGAACCCACGUACCAGAAGAUAAAUGCAGAAAUGAUAUUGUGUUCAACACUGGUGAGUGUGUUAGAAAUAUUAGUUGUGUUUUAUUGAAAAAUUAAAAAAAAAAAAAGGUCAUAUAAUACUCCACUCCUCUAUUUUCGGAGAAAAUAUUAAUCUAACAAAAUUGUAUUAAAAAAAUAUCUAAGAAAUUUAAAAAUGUGAUAAAAAGAAUUAAUAUCUCACAAAAUUCUAUAUUUAUAUAUAGAUAUAUACGAAAUCAAUGUGGGAGAAAGAAAGGGGUAGAGGUUGCCUUGAGUUUUCAAAAAGGAGUGUAAUUCGCCCACUACAAACGCUAACUUCCCAGUUCAUAAAAUCCCAUUUUUUCCGUUUCUACUCAUUUUCCCAUAUCCAAAUUCAAAUGUUCUAAUUUUCCCCUCGGUUAUGUAAUUGCUAUCAAGAGUUGUUGCUUGAUAUUACAGACUCUCACACUCCAACGUGGGAUAAAACGUGUUUAAGCAACGUCUGAGUCAUCAUUCUUCUUCUCUUUUUUUUUUUUUCAAAUUUUUCGUUUUUUUUGCUUUGCCAUUCUUCUCUCUCUCCCUCUCCCUCUCCCCAGGCGUAAAAAGGAAAUUAAUCUGGGUGUAAGCUUCUUUCUUUUCACUUCCAUGGGUUUUCGCCUUUGAAACGUAUGUGCUAUAGCUUUUGUGGUUAAAAUCUUGGUGCUUUUUAUUUCAAUUUUCUUAUUCUUUCUCUCUCCUUUUUGUUAUAGGGUCAAGAUGAUUCUAAAAGUAACUGGAAUAAAAGUAUUGCCAUCAGAAAUUGUCAAAGUUAAAGAUUAACCAUGAAAAUCUAAACCAUCAAGUGCAAGCAAAUGGGUGGCAAGCAUGGCUUUGAUUUCAAACGUAUCUGAUGCCAAUGUAUUUCUGUGUGGAAGUAAUCUGUCUAUAUUUUCAAGCAGGGAAUAACCAUUAGUGUUGCUAUGAACAUACACAACUAAAUCUUAUGGCAUGCACAGCCUGCACUUGCAGAGAACCAUUUGCACAAUUAUUGCCUUAUCUGUUGUUCAUUACUGUGAUAGAACUCAUUUUAUUCAUGUUCUUUGUAAUUCAUAUCAAUUGAUGUCUUAGAGAUCAAUGUGUUUGUGGACAGAUGUAGUCUAAAUUUAUUCAUUAAAACCCAAUUUAACUUCAAAAUUGUAGUUUUCGUUCA